UAACAAAAGCAGAAAAACUGGGAAAUAUAUGAAUAGUGUUAGCAUCAAGGCCAAUUACAUACUGCAGAUAGCAGGUGAAUGUUUGGAGAAGAGAUAUAGGUCACACUCAAAAUUGAAUAGCUUGUAGAAGAACUGACCUUGUACUGUAUAGUACUGACCUGAUGCCUGCUGGAUGGCAAAGGUUGGGGGAAAGGCAUGAGCUCCACCAUAAGGAGAGGCUGAGAUUAGGCCUGGAGCAGC
Molecule: long non-coding RNA, 240 nt
Organism: Etheostoma cragini (Arkansas darter)
Lineage: Eukaryota; Metazoa; Chordata; Actinopteri; Perciformes; Percidae
Exons: 2
Source: RefSeq, a predicted model, not a curated record